CUGAACAAGGGAAGAGUGGCCCUGGCUUGCCAUUGAUUGUGUGAGCAUCAGACAUAUUUGGUGGCAGUCCCAUGCGCGAUCCUUGGUUGACAACUGCCUCGACAUCAUUAUUCCACCAUUCUCCUGCACCAGAGCUUCUACAGAAAAUGAGAUUAAUCCUAUACAACUAGCAACAAAGAGAAAUGUCAGACGAUGAACGAACCAAACCAAGCUGGCCAUUUUCUUUUGGCAAUGAUAAUUUUUGAGGUAAUGUAAAUAUGAAUGAUAACGAAUGAUUUCAAAUGUGAACAAUGCCAAAUAUUUAUACCAUUCAAAAAGCUGCGCUGAUUUUGAAGGUCUUUUAAUAAGAAGUUGGUAGGAAUUGUGGAAGGGUCUCCAUAGCCAAAGCUUGCAAGCAAAAUACUGAUAGAGACUACUUGCCUUGCUUUUGACUAACUUGGAGGUUGAGAUUUCCAAAUGAAAGAGAAAGUUAGACUUGCUGUUCACUUGAACUUAUGUUCAAUUCAUAUAUUACAAAGUUACAUUGUUGCACAAAAAAGUUGUUUAGGACCUAUCUGAUAACGUUUUUCUGUUAUUUUUUUUCGGAAAAACAUAAUUGGAUUACGAACAUUGUCUAUUCAUCAUUCUCAUUUUCUUACAUAAA
Cucumis sativus (cucumber) is the source of this 643-nucleotide long non-coding RNA. RefSeq lists it as uncharacterized. The transcript is spliced from 2 exons. NCBI's taxonomy places the organism in Eukaryota, Viridiplantae, Streptophyta, Magnoliopsida, Cucurbitales, Cucurbitaceae. The record is from RefSeq and is a predicted model, not a curated record.